Non-coding RNA from Acanthosepion pharaonis, 113 nucleotides. Lineage: Eukaryota; Metazoa; Mollusca; Cephalopoda; Sepiida; Sepiidae. The record is from the annotation of a GenBank genome assembly.
UUAUGGCCAUAUCAUGUUGAAACAUUGGUCCUAAUAUGAUCACUGAAGUUAAGCAAUGUUGUGCCUGGUCAGUACCUAAAUGGGUGACUGCUUAGGAAUACCAGCUGAUGUAA